RNAcentral lists this microRNA (22 nucleotides) under Gyrodactylus salaris (gyrodactylosis fluke). RNAcentral's name for it is "gsa-miR-9396-5p". Lineage: Eukaryota; Metazoa; Platyhelminthes; Monogenea; Gyrodactylidea; Gyrodactylidae. The record is from miRBase by way of RNAcentral.
GUAAGUGAUGAAGAAAUAUAAU